RNAcentral lists this ribosomal RNA (472 nucleotides) under uncultured bacterium. RNAcentral describes it as "partial 16S ribosomal RNA". It matches the Rfam family "Bacterial small subunit ribosomal RNA", at positions 28 to 507 of the family's 1533-position model. The record is from RNAcentral.
GACGAACGCUGGCGGCGUGCUUAACACAUGCAAGUCGAGCGGAAAGGCCCUUCGGGGUACUCGAGCGGCGAACGGGUGAGUAACACGUGAGUAAUCUGCCCUUGGCUUUGGGAUAACUACCGGAAACGGUGGCUAAUACCGGAUACGACAACCGUCUGCAUGGGCUGGUUGUGGAAAGUUUUUUCGGCCAGGGAUGUGCUCGCGGCCUAUCAGCUUGUUGGUGGGGUAAUGGCCUACCAAGGCUUCGACGGGUAGCCGGCCUGAGAGGGUGACCGGCCACACUGGGACUGAGACACGGCCCAGACUCCUACGGGAGGCAGCAGUGGGGAAUAUGGGACAAUGGGCGGAAGCCUGAUCCAGCAACGCCGCGUGAGGGAUGACGGCCUUCGGGUUGUAAACCUCUUUCAGUACCGACGAAGCGCCGAUGAUGGUGGUGACGGUAGGUACAGAAGAAGCACCGGCCAACUACGUG